This 1146-nucleotide ribosomal RNA is filed under the name Triticum aestivum (bread wheat). RNAcentral's name for it is "partial small subunit ribosomal RNA". Lineage: Eukaryota; Viridiplantae; Streptophyta; Magnoliopsida; Poales; Poaceae. The record is from RNAcentral.
AUGCUCCGCCUCCGAGGGCGCAUUGUUUCCCAUCUCCUCUCUUUCUCCUCCACCUCUGGCCCAGCCAUCUCCCCUCUCCACCGGCUCCUCUCCGCAUCGGCAGCCGCCGGCCCCGUUUCCCCGAACCCCAGUGGAUUCGCCGUCGAGGACUACCUCGUCGACACCUGCGGGCUCACCCGGCCCCAAGCCCUCAAGGCCUCCACCAGGCUCUCCCACCUCAAGUCCCCCGCCAAACCCAACGCCGUCCUCGCCUUCCUCGCCGGCCUCGGCCUCUCCGGCGCCGACGUCGCCCCGGUUGUCGCCAAAGACCCGCAGCUCCUAUGCGCCAAAGUGGACAAAACCCUGGCUCCGGUGGUCGAUGGGCUCACCGGCCUCGGCCUGUCGCGUUCCGACAUCGCCCGCCUCUUCUCGCUCGCCCACGCCUACUUCCGCUGUAGAUCCAUAGUCUCCAAGCUGCACUACUACCUGCCCCUCUUGGGCUCCUUCCACAACUUCCUCCGGCUGCUCAAGCGCUCAUCCCACCUUCUGUCGUCGGACCUCGAUAAGUCGGUCAAGCCCAAUGUUGCCUUCCUGAGGGAGUGCGGCCUAGGUGAUUGUGAUAUUGCCAAGCUGUGUAUCCGGGAGCCGAGGAUACUGGCAAUUAACCCGGAGCGCAUCCGGGCAAUGGCGGCAUGUGCUGAAAGACUAGGUGUGCGCCGCGGCUCUGGUAUGUUCAGGCAAGGGCUGCAGGCUGUCGCGUUUCUCAGUGAGGAGAAGGUUGCCGCCAAAUUGGACUACUUGAAGAAUACUUUCAGGUGGUCUGAUGCCCAAGUGAGCAUUGCUGUGCGCAAAUAUCCAAAUCUGCUGGGGAAGUCAAAGGAAUCUCUGAAGCGCAGGUCCGAGUUCCUGGUCUCUAAGGUGGGGGUGGAACCCGUGUACAUUGCUCAUCGACCGACAUUGCUCUCUUAUAGCAUGGAGGGCCGACUCAGACCCCGGUACUAUGUUAUAAAGUUUCUCAAGGAAAAUGGACUGCUAGAUGGUGACCUGAGCUUCUUUACUGCGGUCAAGAUGACUGAGAAGGUAUUUAUGGAGAAACUCAUAUCCCCUCACAAGGAAGCUGCACCACACCUCGCUGAAGACUAUGCAACAGGCUAUGAAAAUCCGUAA